CCUACGGGUGGCUGCAGUGGGGAAUAUUGGACAAUGGGCGAAAGCCUGAUCCAGCCAUGCCGCGUGUGUGAAGAAGGCCUUCGGGUUGUAAAGCACUUUCAGUGGGGAAGAAAGCCUUGGGGCUAAUACCCUCGAGGAAGGACAUCACCCACAGAAGAAGCACCGGCUAACUCCGUGCCAGCAGCCGCGGUAAUACGGAGGGUGCGAGCGUUAAUCGGAAUUACUGGGCGUAAAGAGCGCGUAGGCGGUCUGAUAAGCCGGUUGUGAAAGCCCCGGGCUCAACCUGGGAACGGCAUCCGGAACUGUCAGGCUAGAGUGCAGGAGAGGAAGGUAGAAUUCCCGGUGUAGCGGUGAAAUGCGUAGAGAUCGGGAGGAAUACCAGUGGCGAAGGCGGCCUUCUGGACUGACACUGACGCUGAGGUGCGAAAGCGUGGGUAGCAAACAGGAUUAGAUACCCGUGUAGUC
RNAcentral lists this ribosomal RNA (465 nucleotides) under Vreelandella stevensii. RNAcentral describes it as "partial 16S ribosomal RNA". It matches the Rfam family "Bacterial small subunit ribosomal RNA", at positions 338 to 795 of the family's 1533-position model. The record is from RNAcentral. Lineage: Bacteria; Pseudomonadati; Pseudomonadota; Gammaproteobacteria; Oceanospirillales; Halomonadaceae.